Molecule: long non-coding RNA, 93 nt
Filed under: Taeniopygia guttata (zebra finch)
Lineage: Eukaryota; Metazoa; Chordata; Aves; Passeriformes; Estrildidae
Description: lncRNA (ENSTGUG00000028118.1)
Source: RNAcentral
AUGGCCAUGACCAGACAACCAACUUUUAGGUUGGUGUGAGUCACUAUUGGUGAGAGUGCAGGAAGGGGUGUAUUUUGAAGAAGGGAAUAUAAA